RNAcentral lists this ribosomal RNA (460 nucleotides) under uncultured bacterium. Its description in RNAcentral is "partial 16S ribosomal RNA". It matches the Rfam family "Bacterial small subunit ribosomal RNA", at positions 338 to 795 of the family's 1533-position model. The record is from RNAcentral.
CCUACGUGAGGCAGCAGUGAGGAAUAUUGGUCAAUGGCCGGAAGGCUGAACCCGCCAUGCCGCGUGAAGGUCAGUGCCCUAUGGGCGUUAAACUUCUUUUGUGCGGGAGCAAUAAUGGUCACGUGUGGCCAGACGAGAGUACCGUACGAAUAAGCAUCGGCUAACUCCGUGCCAGCAGCCGCGGUAAUACGGGGGAUGCAAGCGUUAUCCGGAUUUAUUUGGUUUAAAGGGUGCGUAGGCUGUGAUGUAAGGCAGCGGUGAAAUGCCCCGGGUGAACGGGGUGAAGUGGCAUUGAUACUGCCUUGCUGGAAUGCGGAUGCAGUGGGAGGAAUGUGUGGUGUAGCGGUGAAAUGCAUAGAUAUCACACAGAACACCGAUUGCGAAGGCAUCUCACGAAUCCGCGAUUGACGCUGAUGCACGAAAGCGUGGGUAUCAAACAGGAGUAGAUACCCCUGUAGUC